CCCCUCUUUGAACCCUAAGCCUCGCAUCUGAGACUGAAUGAAACCACCCUAAGCCAGCUUCGUGCCCUCGUCUCUAUGUCUCUGCUCUCUCGAGCUCGGCGUCGGCAGCGGGCAGUCCCUCACCCUCACCUCGUCACUCCCUCGGCGUCGUCAGUUCGUCACUCCCUCGGCAUCGUCAGUUCGUCACUCCCUCGGCGUCACUCUGGGUCUCUCACCUCGUCGCUCUCUUAGUCUGUCACUGUGAGUCCGUGACCUUGCGUUCGCUUCGUCGGAACCAGUGAAGCAACAUCUGCUCCCUCGAAUGGUGGUGGUCGUAGUCUUCUCAACCAGAAGCAUUGUUGAAUCUAGAGCCCAAUGCUGGAGGUAUCUCACCGUCAAAGUUGUUCCCAGAAACGUUGAAGUAGACCAAGCCAGGGAUCAUAGAAAGAUUACUAGGAAUUUUUCCACUGAAGUUAUUAGCAGAGAGAUCCAGUAUUGUUAGAUUUGAUAGAUCUGUCAAUGCCUCUGGUAUGUUUUCCUGAAAGAUGGUUGUGAUCCACUAACAAAGAUUUCAAUGAGGAGCAUUUGAAAAUAUCCCGAGGCACAUCCCAAAUAAAUUAUUCCUACCCAAAUCUUUUUUUAGAUCAUUAGUUAUGUUUAAAAAUUGAUAUUGAAUUAUUAAUGUUUGUAAAGGUUUAUAUUUUAAAUUUUAAGAUAUUAAUUUUAUUUAUAUAAUUUUAUUUUUUUAGUUA
This is a long non-coding RNA of Arachis duranensis, 731 nucleotides long. RefSeq lists it as uncharacterized. The transcript is spliced from 2 exons. The record is from RefSeq and is a predicted model, not a curated record. Lineage: Eukaryota; Viridiplantae; Streptophyta; Magnoliopsida; Fabales; Fabaceae.